GACGAACGCUGGCGGCGUGCCUAAUACAUGCAAGUCGGGCGGAUGAAAGAGGAGCUUGCUCCUCUAGAUUCAGCGGCGGACGGGUGAGUAACACGUGGGCAACCUGCCCUGUAGAUUGGGAUAACUCCGGGAAACCGGGGCUAAUACCGAAUAAUCCUUCGGACCUCAUGGUCCGAUGUUGAAAGACGGUUUCGGCUGUCACUACAGGAUGGGCCCGCGGCGCAUUAGCUAGUUGGUGAGGUAACGGCUCACCAAGGCCACGAUGCGUAGCCGACCUGGGAGGGUGAUCGGCCACACUGGGACUGGGACACGGCCCAGACUCCUACGGGAGGCAGCAGUAGGGAAUCUUCCACAAUGGACGAAAGUCUGAUGGAGCAACGCCGCGUGAGUGAAGAAGGUUCUAGGAUCGUAAAACUCUGUUGUGAGGGAAGAACAAGUACCGGAGUAACUGCCGGUGCCUUGACGGUACCUCAUUAGAAAGCCACGGCUAACUACGUGCCAGCAGCCGCCGCAG
This 514-nucleotide ribosomal RNA is filed under the name uncultured bacterium. RNAcentral describes it as "partial 16S ribosomal RNA". It matches the Rfam family "Bacterial small subunit ribosomal RNA", at positions 28 to 523 of the family's 1533-position model. The record is from RNAcentral.